Molecule: long non-coding RNA, 387 nt
Filed under: Nicotiana benthamiana
Lineage: Eukaryota; Viridiplantae; Streptophyta; Magnoliopsida; Solanales; Solanaceae
Description: long non-coding RNA (NBEN_LNC026572)
Source: RNAcentral
GCACCUACUUCUUGUGUGAUAGGAUCAAGAGAGGUGACAACAGAGACAAGAGAGUGGAACUACUGCAGCUUUAUGCGAGGGAAAAUUUCCCUUCUGUUAAGUACAUGGAAUACGCGGUUCAGGUUGAAACCUACACACUCUCAAAGGCAAACAACCUAGUCCUCAACGUUGAUGGCGCCAUUGGUUCCCUCUUCUUGGAUCUCCUAGCUGGAAGUGGAAUGUUCACCAAACCAGAAAUCUGAAACCUACACACUCUCAAAGGCGAACAACUUAGUCCUCAACGUUGAUGGCGCCAUUGGUUCCCUCUUCUUGGAUCUCCUAGCUGGAAGUGGAAUGUUCACCAAACCAGAAAUCGAUGAAAUAGUAGAGAUCGGUUACCUGAAUGGU